RNAcentral lists this ribosomal RNA (460 nucleotides) under uncultured bacterium. Its description in RNAcentral is "partial 16S ribosomal RNA". It matches the Rfam family "Bacterial small subunit ribosomal RNA", at positions 338 to 795 of the family's 1533-position model. The record is from RNAcentral.
CCUACGGGAGGCUGCAGUGAGGAAUAUUGGUCAAUGGACGCAAGUCUGAACCCGCCAUGCCGCGUGCAGGAAGACGGCUCUAUGAGUUGUAAACUGCUUUUGUACGAGGGUAAAACCAGAUCCGCAUAUCUGUCUGAAUGUAUCGUAUGAAUAAGGAUCGGCUAACUCCGUGCCAGCAGCCGCGGUAAUACGGAGGAUUCAAGCGUUAUCCGGAUUUAUUGUGUUUAAAGGGUGCGUAGGCGGUCGGAUAAGUCAGAGGUGAAAUCCCGAGGCUCAACUUCGUAAUUGCCUCUGAUACUGGUCGGCUAGAGAGUAGUUGCGGUAGGCGGAAUGUAUGGUGGAGCGGUGAAAUGCUUAGAGAUCAUAAAGAACCCCGAUUGCGAAGGCAGCUUACCAAGCUACGACUGACAUUGAGGCACGAAAGCGUGGGGAGCAAACAGGAUUAGAUACCCGUGUAGUC